Molecule: long non-coding RNA, 448 nt
Organism: Adelges cooleyi (spruce gall adelgid)
Lineage: Eukaryota; Metazoa; Arthropoda; Insecta; Hemiptera; Adelgidae
Exons: 3
Source: RefSeq, a predicted model, not a curated record
CUGUGAUAACACAGAAUUGACUAUUCUGUGAUAAUAGUAUAAUAUUUAAUAAAGUAAUUUCAUAAAUUAACUAUAAUAUUAGGUAUGCAGUUUUUGAGUCAGUUGCUUAAGAUUUCAGAUUUGCAUCAAUGUCAUAGGGAUAAUCGUCACCAUAGGUGAUAUUCCAACAUUUUGUUAAUGUUAUUAUCAUUCGAUUCAUCUAAGCUAAAAUACCAUUCUGUAUUUGCUAGAGUUGCAAUAGAAAAUUUGAAAUAUAAGCUGAAAUGAUACGAUGAGCUUUGUGUAAUCUCAAGUACACUUUAUUUGAAGAAAACAUUUUUAACAUAAAAUUUCCGUUUUCCGAAGUAAGGUUCUUUUCGUUGUUUGUCAAUAGUAUUAACUUCACAACAGAAGAGUCUGACUUUGGGUGACUGUAAUUUUUUUUAAAAUAUACCAGUAUUCCAUUGUU